This is a ribosomal RNA of Denticeps clupeoides (denticle herring), 119 nucleotides long. NCBI's taxonomy places the organism in Eukaryota, Metazoa, Chordata, Actinopteri, Clupeiformes, Denticipitidae. The record is from Ensembl.
GCUUACGGCCAUACCAGCCCAAGAACGCCCGGUCUCGUCUGAUCUCGGAAGCUAAGAAGGCUUGGGCCUGGUUAGUCCUUGGAUGGGAGACCUCCUGGGAAUACCAGGUGCUGUAAGCU